GAUGAACGCUGACAGAAUGCUUAACACAUGCAAGUCUACUUGAAUUUGGGUUUUUAACUUAGGUUUGGGUGGCGGACGGGUGAGUAACGCGUAAAGAACUUGCCUCACAGCUAGGGACAACAUUUAGAAAUGAAUGCUAAUACCUAAUAUUAUGAUAAUAGGGCAUCCUAUAAUUAUGAAAGCUAUAUGCGCUGUGAGAGAGCUUUGCGUCCCAUUAGCUAGUUGGAGAGGUAACGGCUCACCAAGGCGAUGAUGGGUAGCCGGCCUGAGAGGGUGAUCGGCCACAAGGGGACUGAGACACGGCCCUUACUCCUACGGGAGGCAGCAGUGGGGAAUAUUGGACAAUGGACCGAGAGUCUGAUCCAGCAAUUCUGUGUGCACGAUGAAGUUUUUCGGAAUGUAAAGUGCUUUCAGUUGGGAAGAAAGAAAUGACGGUACCAACAGAAGAAGUGACGGCUAAAUACGUGCCAGCAGCCGCGGUAAUACGUAUGUCACGAGCGUUAUCCGGAUUUAUUGGGCGUAAAGCGCGUCUAGGUGGUUAUAUAAGUCUGAUGUGAAAAUGCAGGGCUCAACUCUGUAUUGCGUUGGAAACUGUAUAACUAGAGUACUGGAGAGGUAAGCGGAACUACAGGUGUAGAGGUGAAAUUCGUAGAUAUUUGUAGGAAUGCCGAUGGGGAAGCCAGCUUACUGGACAGAUACUGACGCUGAAGCGCGAAAGCGUGGGUAGCAAACAGG
RNAcentral lists this ribosomal RNA (735 nucleotides) under uncultured Fusobacterium sp. Its description in RNAcentral is "bacterial SSU rRNA". It matches the Rfam family "Bacterial small subunit ribosomal RNA", at positions 28 to 776 of the family's 1533-position model. The record is from RNAcentral. Lineage: Bacteria; Fusobacteriati; Fusobacteriota; Fusobacteriia; Fusobacteriales; Fusobacteriaceae.